Molecule: ribosomal RNA, 892 nt
Filed under: uncultured archaeon
Lineage: Archaea
Description: bacterial SSU rRNA
Rfam family: Archaeal small subunit ribosomal RNA
Source: RNAcentral
CCUGACUGCUAUCGGAUUGAUACUAAGCCAUGCGAGUCUUUGUAGCAAUACAAGGCAGACGGCUCAGUAACACGUAGUCAAUCUAACCUAUGGACGGGGAUAACCUCGGGAAACUGAGAAUAAUACCCGAUAGAUCAUUAUAUCUGGAAUGGUUUAUGGUCGAAAUGAUUUAUCGCCGUAGGAUGGGACUGCGGUCUAUCAGCUUGUUGGUGUGGUAAUGGCUCACCAAGGCUAUUACAGAUACGGGCUCUGAGAGGAGAGGCCCGGAGAUGGGUACUGAGACACGGACCCAGGCCCUAUGGGGCGCAGCAGGCGAGAAAACCUUGCAAUGUGCGAAAGCACGACAAGGUUAGUCCGAGUGAUUUCUGCUAAAGAGAUCUUUUGCUAGUUAUAAAACCACUAGUGAAUAAGGGGUGGGCAAGUUCUGGUGUCAGCCGCCGCGGUAAAACCAGCACCUCAAGUGGUCAGGAUGAUUAUUGGGCCUAAAGCAUCCGUAGCCGGCUCUGUAAGUUUUCGGUUAAAUCUAUGCGCUCAACGUAUGGGCUGCCGAAAAUACUGCAGAGAUAGGGAGUGGGAGAGGUAGACGGUACUCGGUAGGAAGGGGUAAAAUCCUUUGAUCUAUCGAUGACCACCUGUGGCGAAGGCGGUCUACCAGAACACGUUCGACGGUGAGGGAUGAAAGCUGGGGGAGCAAACCGGAUUAGAUGCCCGGGUAGUCCCAGCUGUAAACAAUGCAAACUCAGUGAUGCAUUGGCUUUUUGCCAGUGCAGUGCCGCAGGGAAGCCGUUAAGUUUGCCGCCUGGGAAGUACGUACGCAAGUAUGAAACUUAAAGGAAUUGGCGGGGGAGCACCACAAGGGGUGAAGCCUGCGGUUCAAUGGAGUCAACGCCGG